Scylla paramamosain (green mud crab) is the source of this 2735-nucleotide RNA transcript. It is a transcript of the gene named acidic fibroblast growth factor intracellular-binding protein-like, with no coding region annotated. NCBI's taxonomy places the organism in Eukaryota, Metazoa, Arthropoda, Malacostraca, Decapoda, Portunidae. The transcript has 8 exons. The record is from RefSeq and is a predicted model, not a curated record.
CAGAAUUUGUGUUUUUCUUUUUUUUUUGUGUGUGUGUGUAACCACGCCUACACAGUGGCUGCCAAGGCUUACCCAUGAGUUAAACCUUCUUUAGUUGGUAAUGAGGAAGGCACGGGCUCUAGCAGUGGACACCCGAAGGCAGCAGUGGAUGAAAACAAGCAAAAUAAAGAAAAGUUUGGCUGUGAGAAGGUGCUAGACAGCCAGCCAUAGUGACAAGGAGGCACCACCACCAUCACCACCACAGGGAAGUUCUGCAUCGCUUGGGCUUGUCACCACACCCGCACUGCCCCUGGUGCCCCACGGUGGAGGAAACUAUUGAACACUCGCCCCUACUCAGCCCUCGCUUCUAUUCCCACUGCGUUGUGCUCCGCGACCAACCAAGCCCUCGGGACCAACAUCCUUGACCUGCCCAACCUACUGGCGGCAGUGGGCAGCCCUCUACGCCAAAAACAAGAACAAUAAGAGAGAAGGGAAAGGCAUCUCAGUUGUCGCCGAUCAGCAGGAGCAGUGAGGAGGUCAACAUGAUUCCAGAAGUGGAUAUUUUUGUUGGAAAUUACACGAUUAUUGAUCAGGAAGUGUUUGAGUUAUGGGUGCAGGGUUACUCUGUGGUGGAGUGUGUGUCGGUGUUGCAGCAGCGCGGGGAGCUGGAGGCUUGGGGGGCGGCGCAGGACCUCCUUGCUUCGGACACUGGGGACCACUAUCGCACCUUUGGCAUGCUGGAGAAGCUGCUGCUCACGCCCCCUAAGCUGGCCGAGGAGUGGACCUUUCAGCUGGAGCCCGCCGUACAGCGCAUGGUCAUCGAGAAGUAUUACGAGCUGGACGACAUUGUUAUCCGAGAAAUCAUUGGAAAGAAGUUAUCGGGCCGAACCAGGAAGGAUCUUGACGACGUGGCUGAGAAGACAGGUGUGCUUCUGAGAUCCUGCAGACGUCAAUUUGAUAACGUGAAGCGGAUUUUCAAGCACGUGGAUGAGAUGACUGGCUCAGUGAUGGCCAAUAUCCAGUCUGCUUUCCUGCUGCCACCGCCGCUGGCCAAGAAAUAUGCAUCGAUCGUCUUCAUCAUCAACAACCGCUUUGAGACAAGCAAACGCAAGCUGAACUACUUAACGUUUGAGGACUUCUCAGUGUGUGCGUCCCUCAUGAUGUCGUCCUGGACCACCGCGAGCCCCCUGGCCCCCGCGCUGGCCCCAGACACCAGGGAUGAUACUGAUUUCGACAGGGACUUCCUCAUUGAGCUCAGGGACUUCAAACUUCUGCUGGAUCGGGAAAAGGAGCAUCGGAACGUCACCCUAAGCCACCUCAGAGGGAAGAUACCAGACCGCAUGUGCUCAGAGGUGGAAAGCAACUUCAAGAUUUACUCAAGGGGCAUUAUAAACAUCGGCUGCUCCCUCAACAACUCUCGGGACCUGAGGGAUUUCUUUGUGGAUGCUGUGGAGAGGGUGGUGGAGCCCUGCAGACAGGCUAGGUGGAGGUCCCCUGAGCUGGAGAUCUUCCUGAAGGUGUACGCUGAAGCUGGGUCUGCCCUGGAUAUUAUGGCCAGGUAGGUCUUUGUGUUUGGGGGUGUUUGGAGGAUCGAUCAGCAACAAAUUCCGCCUCCAUGCAUUUGUCAACACUGGAAACAUUGGAGACUUUGUGUUGACUGACGAUUACAAGCAGAACCUCCGGACACUUCUUCAGGAGGUUCGUUUGUCAUACGGCGCUGGGCUGGCAAUGAGUCUGGGAGGAUUUGCACGUGUGGAGCUCAACUACUGCGUGCCUCUGUUGGUGCAGCGCGGCGACCGACCCAGCCAGGGACUACAGUUUGGUGUGGCUGCCAGUUUCCUAUGAGAUCCUUCCUUCACCCUAGAGGUCCUGGGUUUCUUUACUUGGUCCUCAUUAUCCUUGUCUUUCUCUUGUUUACCUCCUGUCUUCCUUCUUUUGCUUGCCCUGUCUUCUUUCUUUCAAUUCCUAGUCUCUGCCAGCUUCCUCUGAGGUCAUUUCCUUCAUUCUAGAGUCCCUGGAGUCCUUCAUUUGGUCCUAGUCCUUUUCUUUUCUCUGUCUAGCUCCUGUCUUUCUCCUUUGCCCUUGUCUGCCAGCUUCCUCUGAGGUCCUUUCCUUCAAUAGAGAGAUCCUUGGUUCCUUCAUUUGGUCCUUCUAGUCUAGUCCUUGUCUUGCCCUUGUCUACCUUUCAUCUUUCUCCCUUGCCUUUCUUCAUUCAUUCCUUUCAUUCCAUCUAAUCUUGUCUUCUUUCCUUCAUUCCUUUAACUCCCUGCCUUUCUCUCCCUCAUUUUCCACACAAUCAUUUUUCUCUUUCUGUAUCUUUUCUUCUUUACUUCUUCAGUCUAGUCCUUCAUUAUCUCCUCUUUAAGUCUUCCUUUCUCCAGCUUGUCUAUUGUCUACGUAGGAAGGAUAAAAAGAGUGGAUAUAUUGAGUGGAUGGAGUGAGGAAUUGGUGAGGAUGGAAAGGUCAUAUCUUGGGUGGAUCUUAGUAAGGUGGAAGGCUGAGUGAGGGAGGAAAGGUUAGAAAAGAAUGGAGGACAGGAGGAUGAGGAAGGAAAGGUUAGGAAGGGAGAAGGAAAGAAGAUUGGGAAGGGUGGAAGACUAAGUGAGCGAGGAAAGGUUAGGAAGGAAUGAAGGACAACGUGAGGAUGGGUGUUAGUAAUGGUGUUGUGGGUGAGGAGGAAAAGGUUAGGCUGGCAGCUGCUUCCAUUUACUUAUGCAAGACUUGUACAGUGUAAAAAUACAGUCAUAUAUAUUAAU